This 253-nucleotide ribosomal RNA is filed under the name Dorea formicigenerans. RNAcentral's name for it is "partial 16S ribosomal RNA". It matches the Rfam family "Bacterial small subunit ribosomal RNA", at positions 524 to 776 of the family's 1533-position model. Lineage: Bacteria; Bacillati; Bacillota; Clostridia; Lachnospirales; Lachnospiraceae. The record is from RNAcentral.
UACGUAGGGGGCAAGUGUUAUCCGGAUUUACUGGGUGUAAAGGGAGCGUAGACGGCUGUGCAAGUCUGAAGUGAAAGGCAUGGGCUCAACCUGUGGACUGCUUUGGAAACUGUGCAGCUAGAGUGUCGGAGAGGUAAGUGGAAUUCCUAGUGUAGCGGUGAAAUGCGUAGAUAUUAGGAGGAACACCAGUGGCGAAGGCGGCUUACUGGACGAUGACUGACGUUGAGGCUCGAAAGCGUGGGGAGCAAACAGG